CCUACGGGAGGCAGCAGUGGGGAAUAUUGGACAAUGGGGGCAACCCUGAUCCAGCAAUGCCGCGUGGGUGAAGAAGGCCUUAGGGUUGUAAAGCCCUUUCGGCGGGGAAGAUGAUGACGGUACCCGCAGAAGAAGCUCCGGCUAACUCCGUGCCAGCAGCCGCGGU
RNAcentral lists this ribosomal RNA (166 nucleotides) under uncultured bacterium. RNAcentral describes it as "partial 16S ribosomal RNA". It matches the Rfam family "Bacterial small subunit ribosomal RNA", at positions 338 to 521 of the family's 1533-position model. The record is from RNAcentral.